Molecule: ribosomal RNA, 339 nt
Filed under: uncultured bacterium
Lineage: Bacteria
Description: bacterial SSU rRNA
Rfam family: Bacterial small subunit ribosomal RNA
Source: RNAcentral
GACGAACGCUGGCGGCAUGCCUAACACAUGCAAGUCGAACGGAGAAUCGCUUCGGUGAUUCUUAGUGGCGAACGGGUGAGUAACGCGUAGGCAACCUGCCCUUUGGAUGGGGACAACAUUCCCGAAAGGAGUGCUAAUACCGAAUGUGACGAUUUUACCGCAUGGUUUAANCGUGAAAGAUGGCCUCUACAUGUAAGCUAUCGCCAAAGGAUGGGCCUGCGUCUGAUUAGCUAGUUGGUGGGUAACGGCUCACCAAGGCGACGAUCAGUAGCCGGUCUGAGAGGAUGAACGGCCACAUUGGGACUGAGACAGGCCCAGACUCCUACGGGAGGCAGCAGU